GACGGAGGGUGCAAGCGUUAAUCGGAAUUACUGGGCGUAAAGCGCACGUAGGCGGCUUUUUAAGUCAGAUGUGAAAUCCCCGGGCUCAACCUGGGAACUGCACCUGAUACUGGGAAGCUAGAAUGUGGGAGAGGAGAGUGGAAUUUCCGGUGUAGCGGUGAAAUGCAUAGAGAUCGGAAGGAACACCAGUGGCGAAGGCGGCUCUCUGGACCAACAUUGACGCUGAGGUGCGAAAGCGUGGGUAGCAAACAGG
RNAcentral lists this ribosomal RNA (253 nucleotides) under uncultured Thiothrix sp. RNAcentral describes it as "partial 16S ribosomal RNA". It matches the Rfam family "Bacterial small subunit ribosomal RNA", at positions 524 to 776 of the family's 1533-position model. Lineage: Bacteria; Pseudomonadati; Pseudomonadota; Gammaproteobacteria; Thiotrichales; Thiotrichaceae. The record is from RNAcentral.